UCACUUUAAAAUAAUCAAAAUCAAAUAUUGAUGCUAAAAAUGAUUUAUUAUUAUUACUGACUAGAAAAAAAUGCAAAAGAUUGACAAAAAGAAAUUGGACUUGGUCCAAUCAUCGGUAUUAUGCAAAUCGAGAAUGCAGUUGUGCAUAAUGAUGAGGCGACGUGCCUACAUAAUUGAUUUUCAAUGUUGACACACACACAGCCCCAAGUUCAUGUAAUGUAAUAAUAGUGGAAAUGCUAAUUAUUACUUUGGCAUUAACAUUGCCCUUACAAAUAAUACGAAUAGUAGAAAAUCCUCAAUGGCAACACAAAAAACUAAAAUGCAGGUGGAAGCGCAUUGAAUGCAAUUUGAUAAAAAUAAAUAAUAAUUAUGGAAUAAUAAUUGAAUGCCAAGUCAAGAGGCAAUCAGGAAUUGAAUUGCUUGUGGAAACAGGAACAGUUAUGUUAAAUGACAAAUCAAAAACAAAUCAGUUCAAUAGUAGACCACAAAGAUUGGAUUGAAUAUUAAUCGAUUUUUGUUUUUGGACAACUCGUUUGACAAGCGACACAUGUGACGCUUAUCUCGAAAUUAGUUCAAAUGAAACCGAAAACCAGAAAACUACAAACCCAGAAACGUAUCGACGCCCAUCCGACCAGGUUCAUUGAUCUCAGCCAGUUUUUUUUUUUGUUUCGUUUUCUUUUUGCGUUCUCUAUGUCUCGCCUUUUGUAUGCGAAAUGCUAAUUCGCGUUUUAACCGAACUUUUGUUGCCUCAAAAAUAACAAGUUCAGGUGCAUUGACACCCGCCUCCAAUACUUCAAUUGCUCAUUUUGUUGUUUUUGUUGUUUUCGACGCAUUCAAUGCGAAGGUCGUUCGCUGAAGUUUUUGGCCAAAAAGUUCAACGACAAUUUGUUGUUUCUCACUUUUGUUGCUGUUGCUGUUGAUGACUAAUUGCAGUACGAGGAAGUCUUUAAUAGGUGGGCACGAAAGCGAAUGCGGGUGGCUUGUGGGAAUUACAAUUCGAGGUACUUAAGAGUCAAAAAUAAAGAGUCAUAUGAUCGAGAGUUGAACCCAAUAU
Molecule: long non-coding RNA, 1054 nt
Organism: Drosophila albomicans
Lineage: Eukaryota; Metazoa; Arthropoda; Insecta; Diptera; Drosophilidae
Exons: 3
Source: RefSeq, a predicted model, not a curated record